This 253-nucleotide ribosomal RNA is filed under the name uncultured bacterium. Its description in RNAcentral is "partial 16S ribosomal RNA". It matches the Rfam family "Bacterial small subunit ribosomal RNA", at positions 524 to 776 of the family's 1533-position model. The record is from RNAcentral.
UACGGAGGGUGCGAGCGUUGUCCGGAAUCACUGGGCGUAAAGGGCGCGUAGGCGGCUUUUUAAGGGUGCGGUGAAAGCCCGGGGCUUAACCCCGGGUCGGCCGUGCGAACUGUUUUGCUUGAGCACUGUAGAGGCAGGCGGAAUUCCGGGUGUAGCGGUGGAAUGCGUAGAGAUCCGGAAGAACACCGGUGGCGAAGGCGGCCUGCUGGGCAGUAGCUGACACUGAGGCGCGACAGCGUGGGGAGCAAACAGG